Molecule: long non-coding RNA, 1837 nt
Organism: Cavia porcellus (domestic guinea pig)
Lineage: Eukaryota; Metazoa; Chordata; Mammalia; Rodentia; Caviidae
Exons: 2
Source: RefSeq, a predicted model, not a curated record
GCCCUUCGGCCCCUGCCUGGCAGCUACCCCAGGCCUCCUGCCUUUGGAAACCGGGUUCUCAGCCCGCCUGACACAUUACGACUCCUAGGGUCUCUGCCUCAUGGCGCUGCUUUGUUCCCACAGCUAAGCGCCCUCACGGGUACGUGAUCGCCAUGUGUGAACACACUGACCAGAGCCUGAGACGCGGCACCACUGUCCACCAUGCUGACAGCCUGAGAACAGCCUGAUCCCUGGGCUUCAGGAGCUGGACUCAGCAAUCCUUUUCCGAUCCACACAGCAGGGAAGACACUGGAAUGGCCUCAGAAUGGUGACAUGAAAUCUUGAGUGUCAUGAAGUCCCUCAGACAGAGACCAAGGAUUCCAGCAGGACCCUGUGACCCCAUGGGUAUUCUUCCCAGAGUAUUCCAUUGUUUGAACCCUAGGACAGCCCCAAGGUCCUCUGUUGUCACAAUGGAAGCUUCCACCAUGCCCAGUCACCUCAGAACCCCCUGCCUCAUAAACAGCUGUUGCCUUUUGAAAAAGAAUAAGAUUCAGCUUCUUAACUGCACUGCCCUCCAAUGUCCAGGGGUUCCUGGACAUCACCUUUUAUUUUCCUGUCCCUCGGGAGGUGGCCAGCUUUGUUUGCGGGUGGUUCACCUGCACUGUAUCAAUUUGAUGGAUUUAAACAAUGCCCAGGGAUCAGCCAAGGACAUUGGUGGGUAUGUCUGGAGCCCCUCAUAGGCGGGGUCCCCUGAGGUUCCCCCUGCACCACAUAGGGAACACAGCACCUCGGCCCGACCACUCUGCCAACCUGAGGAUCCUGUCUUGGAGCCAGCAGCCAUGGACCAAGUUCCCUGAAACUGUGAGGCACAUUACCGUUUCGCCCAGAAAUCAUGGGUGCUGGCGCUGCACCCCCGUGACGGCAAAGCCGCCCGAUACCCACGGUCUCAGCAUCUCCUGCUCUUUCUUUGCUUCUGUUGCACCUGUUUCUCUGUGCUGUGCCCUGGAGCUUCUCUAUCUUACAAUCAGGUCGCUCUGUUAGGAACGUGCUUGGGAAGCCGGCCCGAUGGUACAUACCUGGAAUCCCAGCACUCAACAGCCAGGGGCAGGAGUAUCACUGCAAGUUCAAGGCCAGCCUGAACAGGGGUUACCCUUUCUCAAAACAACAGACAAAACAAAGCCAGAAACCCCUGCUCCUUGGGAAGUUUUCUGGUUCCUGCAGGAAGUCCUCCCUCGGCUGGCUCAAAUUUCCCUCCUUAUCAUCCCCAGCGAGCCACCAGCCUGGGUCCUACUGCUCCAAGGGCAACCGAAGGCUCUGAAGCUUUUUCCGGCCCCAGCCCGAGGGUUUCCUGGUUGGUCUAUGGCUUGUACUGAGCACUGUGUUGGAAACAAGAAGCAACUUCUCCAGAAAUAAUUUGUGUUUGUUUUGCUAGCAGGCCAGGUCUAUACCAUUCUGGGCAGUCUCUGGGGGGCCUAGGAACUGAUUCUAGGCAAUCACUCACCUGACCAUGUGUGGUUAGGUCAUGCUUUGGGGAAAAAUAGCCCAGGUCACCUGAGCAGCUUUUCCACUACAGAUCUGCAGCAGGACAGACCCUCUCCAAACCUGAAGCUCGAACACCCAGAGCAUCUGAGGAGAGGGACAGGGAACCCAGGUCCCCCAGAGGACCUGGACGACCCAGUCCUGUGAUUGCUCUGAGAUAGGAUCUGGCUACGUUGCUAAGGGGCACAGGCUGGACUGCAACCUGGGGUCCUCCUGCGUCAGCCUCUCACAGUGCUGAGUUCACAGGCGUGCACUACAACGCCUAAUUUGAAACAAUACAGUUAAUACUUUUGGAUUCCACUUUUCUGUUUUAAAUGCA